Zalophus californianus (California sea lion) is the source of this 834-nucleotide long non-coding RNA. RefSeq lists it as uncharacterized. The transcript is spliced from 6 exons. The record is from RefSeq and is a predicted model, not a curated record. Lineage: Eukaryota; Metazoa; Chordata; Mammalia; Carnivora; Otariidae.
UUCCUCUCCUCUGAGUGGUCUGAAAAGCUUCAGACUUGCUCACCUGAAGAAUUUCCUGGAACCCAACCCUUCUACCUUUUCAGUUUGUGACCCCGUCCUCACUGUCCGUGACCUGUAGCGGCUUGUUCCGCUUUGUGCCCUGCACGUCCCUCUGCUCAGGGGAGCGGCUCUGAGGGCUGAUCCGCGGGCCGACAGCGUGCCGCAUUCCUGUCGCCUCUCACGCCCUACCUGCUGCACAUUUUCUGCCUUCUGUGUCACCACGGGACGAGAACUAGGCUGGCAAGGACAGACCUCUAACAACAACAACAAGUUGUUGGAGGUUUGCAGAGAAAGGAGAAAUUACAAGAUGGACCUCUUGAAGAGUGGCAGAGUAAAUUGUAUCAGAAAAUGUUGAAUGAGGUUCAAGUGGCAGUGUCGAGGCCCCACGUCAGAUGGACCAUUUUGAAGCAAAUCCAAGACAGUGAAUCAUUCUAUUCAUAAUAUUUUAGUAUGUAUCUCUAAAAGGGCACAGGGUAACCUGAGAUGCUGCAUUUGACCAGUGUUUCUUGUUCAUACCUAUUCAGUACUAUCUGUGAAUUCAACAUAGAAGGAAGGACAUGAGCUGCAGAAGCACCACCAGGCCCAUAGGAAGCUCACUGAAUAAAAAACAAGUGAAGCCAAACACUGGUAUGAUCUAGCAGAGCCCUGUGGCCUAAUGUCCUGAGCUCAGGUCUACAACUCAGAAAUUCAUGGAUUUCUAGUCCCUGCCAGACCACUGCUUUUGGUAAACAGAGGGAUGAUGGUUCCUCCGUGAAGAUGGAGUGUGAGCUGUAAUAAAGGCCAGCCACACAGAAC